Brienomyrus brachyistius is the source of this 2757-nucleotide long non-coding RNA. RefSeq lists it as uncharacterized. Lineage: Eukaryota; Metazoa; Chordata; Actinopteri; Osteoglossiformes; Mormyridae. The transcript is spliced from 3 exons. The record is from RefSeq and is a predicted model, not a curated record.
CAUGCAAAAUGCGUAAUUUGUAAGUUGUAUAAAAUGUGCUGACUUCUAAAAAGCAAUUUAUUAAAAGAAAAUAAAAAGAUCAUGCUAUUAUAUCUUUGUUUGCCUUUGGCCACGAUUUCUCUACUCAUUCACUGUGAUUGGUCCUUCCCUGUUGCGAAGCUAUUUGUAGUGUCUGCUGGGAUCGUAUCUCUUGGCAAAUGGACGAACAAAACACUAUUGCCACUUAGCAGGCAUCCAUUCAGAUCAAAGGAAAUUGUUUAUAAAACAAUGAGUGCUUACACUGGUGCCAAACCUGACCAGAGUGGUAUUACUUGCGGUUACAAUAUGGAAAGUUACACUGCUGAACAAGUCGCUGAUCACAUUGUGGGUCUGGAAAGCAGUACCUCGGAGGAGGAUAGCAUAGAGCUUAGUAAUACGACCCAUGAAGUGUCUGAAGAGGUCUGCUUCCAAGAAGAGAUGUUUGUGCCCUAAAACAGCAACAUAACCUAGGCAAACAGAGCACCAGAUGGAGGAGGAGGCAGACUGCUAGCACAGUACAUCCUUAACACAUCUCCAGGACCAACACGGCUGUAUGUCUCACAGGCAAGUGACAUUGUCUUUUCCUUCAAGGGAUUUAGGACUGCUAUUACGAGUGGAAAGGAUUAUUGUCACCAUGACAACCUGGAGGGGAGAAAUCAAUUCUCCAACAGCUGGGUGGAACUAACAUUUCAGAAUUCAAUGCCUUUCUCGGUGUCUGCAUUCUGGCGGGGGUUGUCAAGUCAAGAGGAGUGUCGCAAGUCUGUGGGACCCAAAGACUGGGAGACCAAUAUUCCCAACGACAAAGAACAGAGUGCGGUUCGGGCAGCUGACAUUGGCACUCCGAUUUAAUGAUAAAAGAUCAUGACGAGCGAGAAGAACAACAGACAGGCUAGCACCCAUUCGAGAAGUCUGGGACAUGUGGUUGUCAAACCUGCCUUUCAUGUAUAAUCUCGGCCAUAUGACCAUAGACGAGUGACUGGUACCAUUCAGAGACAGACGGUGAGUUGAGAUGGGGAUGAUGGGGAUGAUGAGAGUGGCGUUGCAGCUGUGGCAUUUACAUAAAGCUGUGUAUCGUCGGCGUAGCAGUGAAAGGAAAAUCCAUGGCGGCUGAUGACCUGACCGAGCGGGGAAAGGUAAAGAAUGAAGAGCAUGGGGCCAAGAACUGACCCCUGGGGAACGCCACAGGAGACUGUGUGAGGUGGAGUCACCCAUAGCAAGGUACUCUAUCCGGUUUGCGAGGUAUGAUUGAAUCCAGCUGAGGGCAAUGUCAGUGAGAGUAAUAUACGUUAUUGCUGCACUACAGUUGUAUACAUUGUUACACGUUUAUAGUUCAAAUAUAAAUCUCAUGUUCAUUAGCAAUGAAUCAUAAUGGAUCAUUUAUUUCAACCAGUUACCUUGUUCAUCAUUUGUACCCGAGUAGUUACUAAAUUACUUAGGAAUUACAUUGUAACUUGUUACUAAUAAAAUGUAUAAUUUGUAUCCUAGCACCAAUCGAGAGAUAUAUCUAUUGAAACGCAGUAAGGUAGGACAAAUAGACAUUUUUUGUGAGCUAUUUUGUGAUGUAUAUGUACAGCUGUCUGUAAAUAAAAGUGCCCGUGUGAUAUUGAGGACAUUUGACUCUGACUUGGAACUGCCUGUUUGUUAUUACUUUAUGGGAAAACAAUAUUGAGAUAUAUCGUAUAUUGCGGUUGAGUUAAAAAUACUGAGAUAUGAUUUUUCGGUCCAUAUCGCCCAGCCCUACAUAAUACCCAGGAGAACACAGAGCAAGUCAUAGUUAGUGAGGACCCCACAUUAAGACGGUCCCUCAGAACCCCAAAACCCCCAAAGAAAUUCCACUAUCUACAAUAAGGUCAUUUUUUCGCGCCGUUUGAUUAAAAAAAAGAAAGAAAGAAGAGAUGGCGAGCCACCAGGAGACCCUUGCGCGAGCAGACGUGAGGGAGAGCAAGUAGUUACGGAGAUUCUAACCUGUCGCUGCCAAAAUCUGGUUGGGGUGUUAGCAUCGUUUGCCAUUUGCUUGGACCUUGAACUUGAACAAUUGAACUUGGAAUUCUCUUUCUAUAUAUAUACGGACUGGGCCUAGUUGUUCGUAUGGACUAAGACUGAAAACAAAAUUAGUUUUGCUUGCUGCUGUUUUACUUCACGGACGGUAUAUUUUUUGACAAAAAUGAUUUAUAUAUGAAUGUAUUUUCUUUUAUAAUUAAUCUGAAUUGUUACCCAGGGUGCACCCAGAUUGGCAACUUUCAUAUUUGCUUGUGAAUUAUUAUUUUUUAAUGGUGUAUAUUGUAUAGUGACCUGGAUCAGUUUCCUUUCAUUUCAUAUUCAUUCUGCUUGUUCUUUUGACAAUCCACUAAACAUCUGAUAUAAAUAAUAUUGCAGUACAUUUUGUUCUAUAAAUAUAACCCAAAUGCGUUGAUAUUGAUUAAGCCGUUCAUACCGCCCUAUUGAACCUAGGUAUAACCAUUAGGGUAAUUUAUUGACAAUCGGUACAGCUGUAGAGCGUCCUGUUGGAAAAAAAAAAUGACAGAGAUUGUAAAGAGCAAUGGACUCAGAUGCCCUGCUGGUAUUCUCCUACUUUAUAUUUUAUAGGAAAAGACUCAGUGUUCUUAUACUAGCAAAGGGAGUUUGUACAAAGUAUUAAGAGCAGGGGUGCCAAUAAUCGUGGCACAUGUGUUUUUGUUGAAAAUAAUUAUUUCUUGAUGAAGGAUUUGUUUUUCUUUCAAUAAAUUUAUAUUAAGGCAA